CCUACGGGAGGCAGCAGUGAGGAAUAUUGGACAAUGGGCGCAAGCCUGAUCCAGCCAUGCCGCGUGCAGGAAGAAGCAUCUAUGGUGUGUAAACUGCUUUUGUACAGGAAGAAACACUCCCUCGUGAGGGAGCUUGACGGUACUGUAAGAAUAAGGACCGGCUAACUCCGUGCCAGCAGCCGCGGUAAUACGGAGGGUCCGAGCGUUAUCCGGAAUCAUUGGGUUUAAAGGGUCCGUAGGCGGUUUAAUAAGUCAGUGGUGAAAUCUGGUCGCUCAACGAUCAAACGGCCAUUGAUACUGUUAGACUUGAAUUAUAAGGAAGUAACUAGAAUAUGUAGUGUAGCGGUGAAAUGCUUAGAUAUUACAUGGAAUACCAAUUGCGAAGGCAGGUUACUACUUAUGGAUUGACGCUGAUGGACGAAAGCGUGGGGAGCGAACAGGAUUAGAUACCCUGGUAGUCCACGCCGUAAACGAUGGAUACUAGCUGUUCGGAGCAAUCUGAGUGGCUAAGCGAAAGUGAUAAGUAUCCCACCUGGGGAGUACGUUCGCAAGAAUGAAACUCAAAUGAAUUGACCGGNUGAGAGAGACGAGACGACGACGAGGGAGGAGG
RNAcentral lists this ribosomal RNA (610 nucleotides) under uncultured bacterium. RNAcentral describes it as "bacterial SSU rRNA". It matches the Rfam family "Bacterial small subunit ribosomal RNA", at positions 338 to 951 of the family's 1533-position model. The record is from RNAcentral.